UUUUAGAAGAACUCACGGAAACUUUGUGCUGCUGCUCUUUGUUUGCAUAUUGUGGCGAUUUUUUACGAGCAUGUUCACUUUUAGAAGCUGAAGACACAGGUGUUCCUUUCGUGGAUCCUAAAAACAAAUUGACUUAUCAGAAAAGCAAAUAAAUUGACUUAUCAGAUAAUACUGUGAGGCAGCCUCUGAUUACCAAAAGAUUAUUUUGAAACAAUUCACAAAAAAUGACCUUCGUAGCGUGCAUUUACAGGUGGCAUUUGCAUAUUUGGAAUUGUUGUUUUAGGAGGGCCAUCAGGUGUCUCCUUUUGCAACUGUACAGGGAGUAGUAAGUUAACGCGAAACCACACCUGCCAGAAAUAAAAAGGUGUCAAUAUAAUUCAGGUUCUCCAAAAUCAUGAUCAUUGCAUGUGCAACAAUCAAAAACUAACCUAGAUUCAUGGAGAUGAAUGGCCAAUCAAGCAAAGCUCUUGCCUGCG
Molecule: long non-coding RNA, 476 nt
Filed under: Zostera marina
Lineage: Eukaryota; Viridiplantae; Streptophyta; Magnoliopsida; Alismatales; Zosteraceae
Description: long non-coding RNA (ZMAR_LNC003191)
Source: RNAcentral